CCUACGGGGCGCAGCAGUGGGGGAUAUUGCACAAUGGGGGAAACCCUGAUGCAGCGACGCCGCGUGGGUGAAGAAGCGCCUCGGCGCGUAAAGCCCUGUCAGCAGGGAAGAAAAUGACGGUACCUGAAGAAGAAGCCCCGGCUAACUACGUGCCAGCAGCCGCGGUAAUACGUAGGGGGCAAGCGUUAUCCGGAUUUACUGGGUGUAAAGGGGGCGCAGACGGCGAUGCAAGCCAGGAGUGAAAGCCCGGGGCCCAACCCCGGGACUGCUCUUGGAACUGCGUGGCUAGAGUGCAGGAGGGGCAGGCGGAAUUCCUGGUGUAGCGGUGAAAUGCGUAGAUAGCAGGAGGAACACCGGUGGCGAAGGCGGCCUGCUGGACUGCAACUGACGUUGAGGCCCGAAAGCGUGGGGAGCAAACAGGAUUAGAUACCCCAGUAGUC
RNAcentral lists this ribosomal RNA (440 nucleotides) under uncultured bacterium. Its description in RNAcentral is "partial 16S ribosomal RNA". It matches the Rfam family "Bacterial small subunit ribosomal RNA", at positions 338 to 795 of the family's 1533-position model. The record is from RNAcentral.